Long non-coding RNA from Ctenopharyngodon idella (grass carp), 1299 nucleotides. RefSeq lists it as uncharacterized. NCBI's taxonomy places the organism in Eukaryota, Metazoa, Chordata, Actinopteri, Cypriniformes, Xenocyprididae. The transcript is spliced from 3 exons. The record is from RefSeq and is a predicted model, not a curated record.
CUUAUACUCUAGUAGAGAACUGUGAGUCUUGAGUCUCAAAGUCAUUGUCUCUUACUAGUGCAGAUGUUGCUCCUGGUAUUCAUUUUAUUUUCUCUGCUAAAAGGGAAUGCUGCUGCAGACGUGAUAACACCAUUAUUCACAGAAAAGGAUGUUUUGGAAGGAAAAGAUGUUACACUGAAAUGCAACUACACUGGCAAUGUUAAUAAUUUGCAGUGGUACCGUCAGUAUCCAGGAUCCAAACCUGAACAACUAAUAUUUUACUUAGAGACCAUCCCCAAACCAGAGCCCUCUCUCCGUCUGACCGCUGCAGCUGAUAAAGCCAUCAAACAUAUGAAUCUGACGAUCUCUUCUACAGAAGUGAAAGACUCUGCCAUGUACUACUGUGCCCUGGAGCCCACAGUGACAGGAAACACUACUGCACCCUACAAAAACUCAAUGAGAAAUUAUAUUCAAGGCAGAAGAUCAUGAUGCUCAAUUUAAAAACUUAACAUAAAGCAAGUUAUCAGCUCUAAAGUUUGAACAUAAUAGAACAGAAAACUCUAAUUACACCAUUUCAGUGAGUCCAAACCCUGACUAAAUACUUACCUACUUACUUAAAUACUACUUACUUAUACUUAAAAGGCAGUAUUCUCAGCAGAUGCAAGCUAUAUCAAGAAAUGGCUAUGCCAUAUUCCAAGGAUGAUUCUCAGCAUACAGUAUACUGGAUAUUAAAUUGCAUACCUAAUACACUUAUGCUGAUUUUUAAACAAUGAAGCUCUGUACCAAAUUUUGCACAGGGGAAGAACAUGAAGAGCUUUUGAAGUAUGCUGUAAAAGUAAUAUAUGAGAAUAAGUAGGCGGAGCUAGCCGAGGGGAAAUUCACUGCAAAACAGAAGAACAGAUGACACAAUGCCUCCAAAGACAGGAGAGAGCUAUCAGUGCUCUUGAGAAAUCUUCACAAAAACAAUGUUGUGUUUGUUCAUACUUUUCUAUUAUUUUGGUGAAACCACUGGGUAUGGAAUCAAAUCAGAUAACAACACCAUAGUGUUAAUGGAGGAUGAAAACAUUACGCUCUCAUGCACAUAUGAAGGCUCAAUAGACAGUCUGCACUGGUACCGACAAAAACCCGGAUCAAGAUCAGAGUUUCUAAUAAUGAUGAAGCUUCUGAAUAUGUGACAAAAGCCAAUCCACCUCAUCCACGUCUGUCAAUCAAACUUCAUAAAGCACAAAAACGUGUUCAUCUGAAAAUCUACUCUGCAGCAGUUACGGAUUCUGCUGUGUAUUACUGUGCUUUGAGGCCCACAGUAACAGGAAACGCACA